UACCCGAUGGUGUAACGGUAGCACAAAGGAUUUUGGUUCCUUUAGUCAUGGUUCGAAUCCAUGUCGGGUAGCCA
RNAcentral lists this transfer RNA (74 nucleotides) under Methylacidiphilales bacterium. RNAcentral describes it as "Candidatus Methylacidiphilales bacterium tRNA-Gln". It matches the Rfam family "tRNA". Rfam says of the family: Transfer RNA (tRNA) molecules are approximately 80 nucleotides in length. Their secondary structure includes four short double-helical elements and three loops (D, anti-codon, and T loops). Lineage: Bacteria; Pseudomonadati; Verrucomicrobiota; Methylacidiphilae; Methylacidiphilales. The record is from RNAcentral.